This 349-nucleotide unclassified non-coding RNA is filed under the name soil metagenome. RNAcentral describes it as "partial contains 5.8S ribosomal RNA, internal transcribed spacer 2, and large subunit ribosomal RNA". The stretch from base 1 to 120 matches the Rfam family "5.8S ribosomal RNA", at positions 35 to 154 of the family's 154-position model. The record is from RNAcentral.
GAUGAAGAACGUAGCGAAAUGCGAUACGUAAUGUGAAUUGCAGAAUUCAGUGAAUCAUCGAGUCUUUGAACGCACAUUGCGCCCCCUGGUAUUCCGGGGGGCAUGCCUGUCCGAGCGUCAUUGCUGCCCUCAAGCACGGCUUGUGUGUUGGGCCCCCGUCCCCCUCCCAGGAAGGGGACGGGCCCGAAAGGCAGCGGCGGCACCGUGUCCGGUCCUCGAGCGUAUGGGGCUUUGUCACCCGCUCUGUAGGCCCGGCCGGCGCUUGCCGAUCAACCCAAAUUUUUAUCCAGGUUGACCUCGGAUCAGGUAGGGAUACCCGCUGAACUUAAGCAUAUCAAUAAGCGGAGGA